RNAcentral lists this unclassified non-coding RNA (316 nucleotides) under Hevea brasiliensis (rubber tree). Lineage: Eukaryota; Viridiplantae; Streptophyta; Magnoliopsida; Malpighiales; Euphorbiaceae. The record is from RNAcentral.
UUUUGAUAUUGUUGUUUAAUUUCGGUGUGUUUCGUUUCUUUUCUCCCUUUUUCUUCUCAUCAUUCUACGCCUCCGAUGCCGAUGCCGGCCGACGGAGCCGCCCAGAUGGAUGCCGCCGGCGUCACCAAGGAGUUCAUGUUGUUCGGAGUCAGAGUCAUGGUGGACCCGAUGAGGAAGAGCGUCAGUAUGAACAAUCUCUCUCAGUAUGAGCAUCCUCUUGAAGCUUCCAUUGAUGACAAUAGCCGCAACAGUAAGAGUACUGUCUCUGCCGCCGACAGGAAGGAAGAUUCCGCUACCGGUUACGCUUCUGCGGAUG